This is a non-coding RNA of Schizosaccharomyces pombe (fission yeast), 208 nucleotides long. The record is from the annotation of a GenBank genome assembly. NCBI's taxonomy places the organism in Eukaryota, Fungi, Ascomycota, Schizosaccharomycetes, Schizosaccharomycetales, Schizosaccharomycetaceae.
UCGCAGUCUCUUGCAUGCUCAAAAGGGUGUGAGUUUUGUAUUUUCAGCUUAAGCUUUCAAUACUCAUAACAUACAAGUAAUACGAGAUAUUUGAAAAUUUAUUACUGACUAGAAAAGGCAUAUAAUCACUCCAACUACCUAGAACUGGGAGACACACAGUUGUAGUCCAAUAUCCAAGCAAUAGAUUGGCAUACUAUGCUAGUCAGAA